UGGGGAAUCUUCGGCAAUGGACGAAAGUCUGACCGAGCAACGCCGCGUGAGUGAAGAAGGUUUUCGGAUCGUAAAACUCUGUUGGUAGAGAAGAACGUUGGUGAGAGUGGAAAGCUCAUCAAGUGACGGUAACUACCCAGAAAGGGACGGCUAACUACGUGCCAA
Molecule: ribosomal RNA, 165 nt
Filed under: uncultured bacterium
Lineage: Bacteria
Description: partial 16S ribosomal RNA
Rfam family: Bacterial small subunit ribosomal RNA
Source: RNAcentral